RNAcentral lists this ribosomal RNA (300 nucleotides) under Aetana omayan. RNAcentral describes it as "partial 12S ribosomal RNA". Lineage: Eukaryota; Metazoa; Arthropoda; Arachnida; Araneae; Pholcidae. The record is from RNAcentral.
CGUAGUAAUAAAUUAACAAAACUAAUACACCUUGGCGGUCAUACUAAAUUAAAGAAACUCGCUUAAUAACCGAUAACCCCCGAUAACUUUAACUUAAUUAAUAAGUUCAUAUACCGCCGUUACAGAAUAAUAAUAACUAUAAUUCUCCACAUUUAUAAUUAAUAAAAAAUCAGGUCAAGGUGUGGCAACAUUUAAGCAUAAGUAAGUUACACUAAAAAAAAAUUAAGGAUUAAAUUUUAACAUAAAAACAUGAAAGAGAAAUUUAUCAGUACAUAAACAAUUAAAAUUUACAAUAGAAAU